CAAAACUAAUGUCAACAAAUCCCAAAUCAAUAGCAACAAAACAAUAAAAAACCAAACAAGAAAGCAAAACCCAAAUGACAUAAGAGACAUAUGCAUAAUAAUUAAGAGUUAUUCCAAUAACAUGUAUCACAUCGAUGUACACAAGUCCGAUAAAUUUCAGGAUUAAAUUCAGAAGCAAAAAUGACAAUAAAAUACACAGAAAAAAAGAAAUUAGAACGGCUUCAAAGAAAUCAACAUCAAAUUGUACAACAAAUUUCCAGAGGUCUACCUGAACAAGUGAAAUAGGUUGGAGAAGAUUCGAGAGAAGGCAAGACGCAGGCGAGGAUAGGUUCUGAAAGAGUAUAAAGCAAUAUGGUGAAGCAAACCCUCGACAGUCUCGACAAAUGAGUUGAGAGAUCGAAUUGGCGGAACGUAGAGAGUCAAAGGUACCGCCGAGAAGGCCACGGCGAAGAAUAGCUGCAGCAUUUGACAGAUUCAGAUUGACUAAUUUGUCUGUUUGUUUACUGUGAAAAUGAAGGAAAUUAUUUUUUCUUUGUUUAGAGCGAGUGAGAAGGGUAAGGAGUUUGUAUUAAUGGAUUCUGU
This 582-nucleotide unclassified non-coding RNA is filed under the name Hevea brasiliensis (rubber tree). Lineage: Eukaryota; Viridiplantae; Streptophyta; Magnoliopsida; Malpighiales; Euphorbiaceae. The record is from RNAcentral.